CUCUGUCUCAAACAAACAAACACCAGACAGGGAGACAGAGAGAGCAGGAGGGGAGUGGGAGCUCUGGAAGGCAUCUGAGAGCCAGGCAGGGACACGCCUCUGUGGACACUGGGAGGUUCUGGGACCUUAGCUCCAGACAGGCCGGUUACUUUGUAACCCCCCACUGUGUCCUGCAGCUGAUCCUUCAGGAGAGAAGGGCUAGAGACUGGUGUUCAGGGUCAGUGAGCACAUAAACAGAUGUCCUGGGAGUCAUUUGGGAGAGAAAAAGAGGACAUCCCAGGUUUUUGUGCCCACAGGAAAGACAAUAUCACUCUCACCACAUGAUUGAAAGAGCCAAGUAUGAGAAGAUAAAUGAGGAGACGCUUGGAGAAGUACAGGGGCACCACCAACACUUAAGCCUCCAUCUUCAGGCAAGAAAGUCUGUGAUAUGAAUGAAGGGAUCAUAAAAGGCACAUGGAAUCAAAGCUUUUGGUCAACUGCCAACAAGGUACAGAGGCCCAACAGCAAUCAUCGAAUGAACUUGGAAGUGGAUCCUCUCACCCCAGUUGAGCCUUCUGAUGACUGCAGCCCUGGCUGAUGCUUGACUACAACUUCAUCAGAAAUCCUCAUGAAGAUCCAGCACCUUCCAGUUAGCCCAUCUAUGAGAAAACCAAUGCUCCGAUGAGUGCAGUGACUUCCCAUGCCUGUGGAGAGUCUAUGCCUUUGAUUGGAUCCCCAGAGGUGGUUUUCACUUGCCCCCCAUUGCCUAUACCAUGUUGCCUUCCUGGAGUUGGUGGCCUUUGAGCUGGGCCUGGAAGAUUGGGUAGGACUUUAUGAAGUGGGGAUGGAGAGACAAGCUGUGCGAUGGGGAUGAAGAAGAUAACCCAGGUCAGAGGGAACAGCAUAAGCAAAGGUAUGUGAAGGGGAAAGAAUUCAACACCUCCAGGCAAUGGUGAGGAUGUCGCUGAGUUCUCUUUCACUUAUCUGCAUGUCAGUCAUGACCCCUGGAUGCCAGCUCCUGAUGGGUCAUCUGCCUACCCUAGAACUUCCCAGCAUCUAGCAUCCCAGACCUUCCCAGAGUCUACAAGAAAAGAAACCUAGGCAUCAGGAUGUCAGUUCUGGUCUGAGUCCUGUCCUCUGCUGACUUUACACCAGCACAAUCUAGCAGGGAGACUUAAUGUCUUCUCCUCCCAGCUUCCUGGUACAGUGUAAGAAAGUAAGCUUGCAGAUGCAAAUGCUUGUGGCUCUUCAUUGACCAGAGGCUAUAUUAGGGGAGAGGACUUCCCUGGGACCCCCACAGGGCCUGGAAAACCCCUCUGGCCCUGACUUGCUCCACCCCUUGGCUCUUGACCCAUUUCUCUCUUGGGUAACUCCUGAGUCUCCUCACCAUGUCCAGUUUGGAAGACUUUAGGCACAAGGACCUCGUCUUUUCCUUCAGAUCUUGGCUCAACCAAGAGGCGGACUCACCGUGAUGUGAAUGCAGCUUGAGCAUCCAGGACUCUCCCCAGAUCCAGGGAGGGCCUCAGCGAUGUGUUCACGUUGUCAUAUUUUUAUAAAAUUUGCAAAGGUAAGAUACUUUAACCACAAUCAAAAUUACUAUUUUCUUCCCACUCCAACUUCCCUUGUGUUUCAAUUUUCCUUUAUGUGGGAUAAUUGGAGUGGCCAUGGGCACUUCUGGGAUCUGACCAAGGGGAAGCUGAGUGGGGGACUGAUUUGAGUUGGGUUCACUGGGAUAUGUUUAUGUGGUUUUCUGAAACAGAGGAUAUAUUAAUAUUUAUGUGGUUCUCUGUGUAUAGAUAAAUCAUUGCUAGUAAUCUCUGUGUAGAGAAUAGCUUCUAGGAAUUCUACCCACUGCCCAGCUCACUUGGCAUGGUGAUAUUAAGUUGCCAUAUGCAGAGGUCAUAUCGUGAUAUGAAUGUGUGUCAUGGCACCCAGCCCAGGAAGUAUAUGGGCAGUAGACAAGAAACAGGAGAAACCAGGUUUGAAAUGUACAGAGCCAGAAGCUAGUCUGUGGAAAAUUCUUCUAAUCAUCAGGGGGAGAAAAUGUGUCUCAGAGGUUAAGCAGGGCAGUUAAUAAAAGUAUUACGCAUUUUGGGGGGAUUGUGUGAUGUAUCUGUUUUGAUUUCUUUUCUCAUUAUAGGUAAAUAUAGGUACCUUGUACCUAAUUUUAUAUUCAUAAUUUUGUAUAUUUUUCUUAAAGAGGGCUCCUCAAAUUAUAAAACCUUCAGUUCCCACAAGGUCUACACAUCCAACCUUGGCUCCAUCAUUUAUUUUCUGUGUGAUCUUGGGGAAGUCACUUGUGCUUUCUGAGCCAGUUUCCUCUUCUAUAAAAU
RNAcentral lists this long non-coding RNA (2312 nucleotides) under Homo sapiens (human). RNAcentral's name for it is "HSALNT0363786". Lineage: Eukaryota; Metazoa; Chordata; Mammalia; Primates; Hominidae. The record is from RNAcentral.